Molecule: long non-coding RNA, 13861 nt
Filed under: Medicago truncatula (barrel medic)
Lineage: Eukaryota; Viridiplantae; Streptophyta; Magnoliopsida; Fabales; Fabaceae
Description: long non-coding RNA (MTRU_LNC008058)
Source: RNAcentral
UGCAAUCAAAAGGACUUGAGUUUGAGCUUAAUUAAAAAGAGAGAUUAAAUUUGAUAAUAAUAUAGCCAAGUUGAAAGAAUGUUACUUAUUAUGUCAAUUGCAGUUCUACCGUUGGUAAAUCUUCCGGUUGGACCCAUCGGAAAGUCAAUUCCAUAAGGUUUGUAAUUAGAUUUUGCAGAGGUAGGAAGGUUAUUGUUGUUUCCACUAUCAGAUAAAGAAUCUCCAAAGAUAAAUACACAAGGCACUUGAGAUUUCCCAUUGACACAUUGUUUAAAAUAGUUUGCAGACAAGAAAACAAUAAGAACCACCAACCAUGUUUUGAUUAUAGAUUCCAUCUCUAAGAAGAAAGUCUAAUGAAGCUACAGAAUCCAGAUGAUAAUUAAGGAACCAACCAAGAACAAACAAGUUGAAGACAUAAAUAUUAAUGAUGGGACCACUCAAUUUUAAAAAAGAAAAUAUUGGUUUUUUGCAAGUUAUUACAUUAUUAAAAGCUAAUUUACUCUACACACUACAAAGUAUCAUGUGUGGCAUGCCAUCGAACUAUAAAAACUAAUUUCUUCAUAUUGAAGCAAUAAACUAAAACAUAAAAUUAUACUAUAAACUAAGAAACUCGCCUUAGUCAAAUUAAGGGUGCCACAACUAUUCCUUAGCGUUAGCGAGCAAUAAUAUAUUCACCACAAACUCAAAGCUUCUUGAAAUGUUCUUAAGAAGAUGGAAAGAGUUUGAAAAAACUAUAUACUAACUACUUCAUAUAUAUAUAUACCCUCCGGUCACUAAUAUAAGCAAAAAUUCACUUUUAAAAUACAUUCAAUUAAUGAUAUAUGUGACAUAUAAUAAAGACCACAUACAUCAUUAAUUGAAUGUAUCUAAAAAGUAGAUUUUUGCUUAUAUUAGUGACCGGAGGGUGUAUAUAUCUUAAGAAAGACACGUUAUCAACAUGUUGAAAUAAUACUACCGGAAAAAUUGCAAUCGCGGGCCCCACUUUUCUGUUCUGUAGUGAAUGGUAGAAAAGGACUAUUUCAGACUUUCAGUUGGGGUGCCAACUUUUAUAUAUGUUGGUAGUACAUUAUUGAGUAAUGAUACAUAGACACCCUUUAUUCCCAUACACCCUUGUACACGCCAUGCAUUAGGAAGAGAAAAGAGAAAGUGUGCUUGUGCGGGAUCCACGUGACUACGUGUCAGAUUUUUAUGUGGGUGUCAAAGGGUGUAUUGCCACCUAAGAGUGUCUAUGUAUCAUUACUCUACAUUAUUAGAUUGAAUGAAUGGUCUCUGAUUUCUUAUAUGUUGUUAAUUAACUCCGUUUGAAAGUUGGAAGCACUUUUCUUGGUUAGUGCGCAUAUGUAGCGCCGACACUUUUAAUAGAAGGUGUGUUUGGUGUCCGACACUAACAAGAACAACACAUGAGUUCUCUUAAUACUGAAGGAUGUUUAGCUUGAUAGUUUAGUGAUAGAAAAUCCAUUUUUGUUUUCAUUCUGCAUCAAAGGACCAUUACAGUAAGCCAUGGUUUAGUGAAGCCUGAACUAUAUGUAUAUCAUCAUAUGACCUUAUUGCAGUGAGUAGGUUCCAAGCCUCAGUGGGACGAAAUUAACAAUUGUAAAAACCAACUCAACUAUCAUCAUUAUCAUCCACUUAAAUUUGAUCCACCUCCUUUGCUAAAGUUAUCAACUAGCUUAUCAAACACAAAUCGGAUCAAACUUGAGGUAGCAGAACAUAUUACACUUAUUUUAUUUAAUUCUAGUUUACAGUAGUCCGUACAAUUUGAUAUUAAAAGAUUGUUUCAAAUGUAGGUAGGACAAGAAUUAAUGAACGUGUACAAAUAACUUGAACCUAUUUAACUAGAGGCACUAAGCUGUGAAGUGAAAUCCAAUUCCAUUUCAAUUUCUUGUUCAACAAGGUUCUUAAUAUCCAUUGGAUAAGUGAACCCUGAAUUAUGUGAAUUAUAAGACCUUAUUGCAUAGAGUUGGUUGCUUGCCUCAGUGGGAUGGACUUCAUCCCAAAACGCAUACUCACUCCUAUUAUAGCAUGGCCUUUCAUCAGGAAUACACCCUGAUGGGCAACAAGGAACAUUUGAAACCAAAAACCCUGAAAGCCAUGGAACAUGUAGCAUGUUUAUAUAUUGUAUAAACUUCAAUCAAUCACAUUAAAUUGCAAUUAAUUAUAGUAUAUGAAUUGAAAUUUAAGUAAACUAAAAUUAUUACCAUCUGAAUUCUGGGCAUCUGACUCUAACGUAGUGUUUACAAAUAUGAAUUUGGAAUCAGCGGAGAACUUAUUAUUGAAAUGAUCCACUAAAAAUUUAAGCUUGAAAUUGAAAAUCAAUGCAGGGGCAUUUUCCUCAUCAACGCAGGACCCGUUUGUUCCAUGAGUAAAGAUGGCACUUGGUGUGCAGCCCAAAAGGCCUAACCCUACUAACACAUAUUUUCUAGCUCCAAUGUCAUGUAAAGUCUGUUACAAAUAAUAGAUGGCAUUAUUAAACCAUCCUGUGUAACUCCAAAUAAUAUGCUACUAUUGUAAUUUUCCAAAUCAUUUUGUGAAAACUAAAAACAAAGGUCAAACACAGAGUUUGAGUGGAUACCAAUAAAUUUAAAGAUAACUCUUGAAUUAGAGCUUCUGCAUAUUGCUCAGGGCUAUAAAUUUGACUUGUUGGGUAGAAUUGAGGACGAAAGUAAUUGUUUAUGUAAUCAUUACUGCCAAUAUUCACAUAAUACAAGCAUUUGCUAAGGUAUUCUUGAGCUUUGUCAAUACCUUCAAGUCUGCUAGCAAUUCGAGAAACUAUAACUUUGUGAUUUUCUAACUGUAAUCCCAAACUGAUAACAAAACCCUGCACAGAAAUAAUGUUAUUUUGGUGGCAUAUGUAUGAGCAAUGUGACAAAAAUACACAAGUCAUCUACUAAUAACUAAUUGAAGAUAAUGAUGAACAAUCAAAUAAAUGAAAAGGCUCUUUGAUCAAUUUAUACCGUAGUUAUGCUUGUCUCGAUACGAAUUCCAGCUGCACCAGAUGCAUAGUUAACACCUUUGAGUAUGUCUGAACCAUUAAUGUUUGCAAAGGGUGGAAUGAAUUUCUCAAAACCAAGAAGCUGAGCUGCAAUAAAAAGAACUUUACAGUUUGAGCUGAAUCAAAAGAUUAAUGUAACAAGAGAAAAGAAUAAUGAAAAACACUUAUAGAUUCAAUCAGUAUAGUUUACUCUUACAAAAAAAGAGAGAAUCAGAUUUCAUAAUCAUAAUAUAGAUAAGUUGAACGGAAUGCUACUUAUUAUGUCAAUUGAAGUUCGACCGUUGGUAAAUCUUCCGGUUGGGCCCAUCGGGAAGUCAAUUCCAUAAGGUUUGUAAUUAGAUUUUGCAGAGGUGGGAAGGUUGUUAUUGUUUCCACUAUCAGAUAAAGAAUCUCCAAAGAUAAAAAGACAUGGCACUUGGGAUUUUCCAUUGACAAAUUGUUGCAAAUAGUUUGCAGAAAAGAUAAGAAUAAGAACCAUCAACCAUGUUUUGAUCUCACAUGCCAUCUAAGCAGGAAAACUAAUGAAGCUACCAAAUCCUUCGGGAGCAAUAAUAUAUAUAAUCAAUACAAUUAUAUUAUUCCAUUGUAAGAAAUAGUAUAAUCAAUAUAAUUUUUAUAUUAUUCCUUUUUGAGCAAUAAUACAUUUAUAUUAUUCCUUUGUGAGUAUUAAUAUAAUCAUCAACACCUUGAAAUGUGAUAAGGAUGAAUUGGGGGUUAUUAAGAAGAUUGAAAAGACUAAUUUUCUAAUUUUAUAUAGUAAGACAGAAACAAGACUAUUGUUAAACUGUCCAUCCAAUGUUACUGUUUGAAGCAAAAAUCCACCAAGACUACACUACCUUACUAAUGAAAAGUUAGAAAAUUAAAUGGAAGCAUCAAUAAUAUAUUCACCUCAAACUUGAAGCAUAUCAAUAUCUAGCUAGCUUCUUGAAAUGUUCUUUAAUAAGAUGGAAAGAGUUUGCAAAGACUAAUAUACUAACUUCAUAUUUGAAGAAGGUGAUUGAUGGUCGAUAAGAGUUGACGUUUGAAGAUUUUUUUAUUUUAUUUUAACUAUUUGAACUAGUUUUAUUAAAGGCAUUUUAGUCCAUUCAUGUCAAAACACCUUAAUCAUCAUCCUCAAAUCUUAGUCAACAUUAAAUACGUCAACUAAUCACGUUCACCUCAACGAGGGACCAAAACUUACUUGUAAUAAUCAUAGGGUAUUUGUUGAAGGAUUAAUUGAUGAGACCAAGGUUGUGAGACUCGCGAUCCAAUAAAGAAAAAAAAAACAUAAAACAAAUAUGAUAUUAUCGUCAAAAAUUCAAAGUUCAAAUGAAAUAUUGUCCAUCAUCAAAAUCACCACCACCAUCGUCAUCAUCAUGGUCACCAUCAUCUUCACCAGCAUCGUUAGCAUCAUCGUCAUCAUCAAAUUCUGCCCCGGAUGAAACACGUUAAACAAGACACUGAUUACAUGGAAAGGAAGCAAGUGAACGCCGUAGAUGAAAACAAACAAGUAAGUGAUUUACGAAAUAUAAACUGGAGAGCGUCGAAGGUGAAGUGUUUGCCGGCUAUGAAGGUGAGAUUAGAAGUCGUCGUUGCGAUAGAGUGGCUUUUCGUUUCUAAAAUUGCAAGAGAAAGUAAUCUUUAAAGGGAAAUGUUAAUUUGUGUCCUUAAGGCACAAGUUUAGAAACCAAAUGUCGAAAUUUAAUUUUGGAAAUUGUGCAUUUAAUAUCUUGAAAGUUUAAAAACUUAUUUUUUCAAUACAAAAUUUAUGUUUUAAUUCUCUUUUUAGAUCCUUAACUUGUGCCCUUAUGACACAAGUUAACAUGAUCCUUGUUUAUAGGGUUAUAAGAUUCUAGAUUUUUUCUAUUUAAAUUUUUUGUUUGAUUUUGAAUUUGUGCCGUAUUUUGGGCUUUACUCAUCUUAGACUCUCUAUGUGAGACUGCACGAGUCUACCACAAAAAUAAUUCUAUGUGCAAAUCUAUUAAUUAUUUUCUUCUAGACUAAUAUGUGUGAGUAUUCAUUUUUGCCUUCUAUACUCGUAAAUUCAUAUAAACCCGCGAGUUUGACAACCAUAACCGAUACUAGUUACAUAAGUAACAAAAAAAUAUUAAAACUUCGUAAAUUGUUCAAUAUCAGUUGUGAGUUCAACCACACUGAGACUACACUAAACUAAAAGAGUCAAGAAAGUAUAAGUCCCGAUGUGCGAUGUGGAAGAUGGCUAACAACAAUGUCAUUUCGACAACAAUCACCAACUACCAAUCAACCUUUUUGUGGAAAUGAAGUUGUUAUUGCUAUUGCAACACAUGCCAUGUUAUUAUAUAGGACAACUCUACGUAUGUUAUGUUUCUUUGCAAGCAAUGUGGGACUAAAACUCCAUUUUUAAUUUAGACUCUCUACUUUCCACACCUCACUUGACACAUGAAAUGAAACCCGUCCUCAGUCUCACUAUGCCACAAAACUUGCUAACAAUUUCUCAUCACUAUUUUUGUAUUACAAAACCCUUAAGAUAGAAUGGACUCCGCCCUAUUCUAUUUCUGUAUCACAAAACUUUGUUAAAAUGUUACAGUUUAGAAGCCUCUAUAAACAUGGUGUGAAGCAUAUUGUGCAAUUUUACUAUUAAAAUCAUAAGGGAAUGCAGUAAUUUACAGCACAUAAAUUUUAUGCUAAUUUAAUGAAUCCUACUUAGUGAGUUCAUUCAAUAUGCAGAAUAACAAUUAUCCAUUAGAAACAUAACUCAUAUUUGAACCUACUAGUAAAAUCAGAUUUCUGAGAUGCAAUCAAUAUCCAGAGCCAUCAGUUUUUAUAUUGAAGUUCAUUCAACAUGUUUUUAAACUGUGAAUUCAAACAUGUGUAUCUCAACAUAUACUCCAUUCAAGGGAUCAACAAUGCUGAUGAAAAGGAUCCAACAGAUGCUAUUUUACAAUCUUAUUUUACAAUCUAGAUCAAUACUACUAACUUGCAGUGUUCUCUGACUGAACUGUAUCAACAAUGCUAAUAGUAUCAAUACUACUAACUUGCAGGCAGUGUUCUGUGAUCGAAGUGUACGGAGGCUUCUAGUAUUUGAAACAAUUGAUGAUGUACACCAUCCUUAAUAUUUUAUUUCAAGUUAGGAAGUGAAAAAAGCCAUUUUCUUCUAUUCCAAGAAACCCACCCAAAUAACAAAACCAAAGCAAGCAUCAUGUUUGCAACAACUCAGACAUCACUAUGCCAGAAAACAUGUGCAACAAUUUCUCAUCACUUUUUUCAGCUCAUUCAUCUCUUUGGCUGACUAAGAGAAGGCAAAUGAAUUAUCAUUAUCCUCUAUGCAAUUGGAAGCCAACCAAUUGUCAGAUUUUGUUUAUUCAACCUACCCAUUAACAAUUGUAAAAACCAACUUAAUUAUCAUCAUUAUCAUCCGCUUAACUGUGAAUCACCUCUUUUGCUAAAUUUAUCAACUAAGCUAUCAAACACAAAUUUCACUCAAAUGUAAGGCGGCAGAACCAAUUACACUUAUUUGACUUAAUUCUAGUUUACAAUAAUGUCAUUUGAUAUGAAAAUAUGGUAUCAAAUGUAGGUAGGACAAGAAUGAACGCAUACAAAUAACUUGAACAUGUUUAACUAGAGGCACUAAGCUGUGAAGUGAAAUCCAAUUCCAUCUCAAUUUCUUGUGCAACAAGGUGUUUAAUAUCCAUUGGAUAAGUGAACCCUGAAUUAGUAGAUGAAUCGUACAUUCUUGUUGCAAUGAGUAGGCUCCAAGCCUCAGUGGGAUGAACUGCAUCCCAAGACACAUAUUCACUCCUAUUAUAGCAUGGCCUUUCAUCACGAAUGCACAGUCCAUCCAACCUUGAUGGACAACAAGAAGCAUUUUAAACCAAAAAACCUGAGAUUCAUUGAACAAGCAGCAUGGUUAUAUAUAUUGUAUAAAACCUCGAUCAAUCACAUUAAAAUGUAUUCCCUCCGUUUUUUAUUAUAAGCAAAUUUUAGCUUUUAGAUUCAUUCAAUUAAUGAUGUAUGUGGUUUAAUAUUUAGACCACAUACAUCAUUAAUUGAAUGAACUUUAAAGUCAAAAUUUGCUUAUAAUAAAAAACGGAGGUAGUAGUUAAUUAUAGUAUGUGAAUUGAAAUUUAAGUAAGCUAAAAUAAUUACCAUCUGACUCUAAUGUAAAGUUUAUAAAUAUGAAUUUAGAAUCAGCAGAGAACUUAUUAUUGAAAUGUUCCACUAGAGAUUUAAGCUUGGAAAUUAAAAGUAACGGAGUGCUGCCUGAAAGUUCCAACCCAACUAACACAUAUUUUCUUGCUCCAAUGUCAUGUAGAGCCUGGAAUAAAAUAGCUCUAUUAAAAAAAGGCAUCAUAAUAAAAAAAGAAAUAGAUAGAAUCACAAAGUGCACUAUAAAAGCUAAUUUCAAUUUGAAUUAAUCACUUAAAAUGUAAAAGAAACUCACCUUAGCCAAAUUAAGGGUGCCACUUUAUAUUCCUUCUUGAGCAAUAAUGUACUCACCAUGAAAUGUGUUAAGAACAAAUUCAAAUAGGCUCGGUGAUUGUCUGAUAGAUGAUCAAAGGUUGGCAGUUUUGGUGACCAGCACCGGAACAGUGUGAUUGGGAUCAUUAUAGACACUAUCGUGCAGCAACAAUACUAUAUCAAGAAAAUUUCUAUUCACGAACUGGAUCGCAAAGCACACGAUCUGGUCAUAUAAAAAUCAAAAACCGAUUUACCUUGACUUUGGCGGAAAUCAUGGCGGUAUGGGUGAUAAUAAGCUAGUUGCAAACUGCUACAUCAUGUCGUGAAACAUUGUGAGAUGAUUUUUCGCUUUAUCCAGCAUUUUCCAUCAAGCAAAUACAUUUGCUGAUGGUUCUUCUUCACAUGUCAUCGUACAUAGAACAAAUUGCUGACAAUGUGGGACUAAAAGACCAUAUUUCUAUUCUGUACUUUCAUACCUCGCUUGGCAUUCGUAUUUGAAAUGUAUCAUCAAGUUUAAGGAAGAAUCUAGAAGAGUUGCGUUGCUGAAUCAAAUACAUGUACUGAAGAAUAUUCAAUGAAGUUUAGUUUGCAGUAUAAAACCCAUUUUGAUUUUCAUUCUGCACUCACUUCCAUUUUCCAACAUCAGACAAAGACUAUUAACAAACCGAGUCAAUGUUUGCAUUUCCUUGAGCACAUCAUCGGUCGGAUACACACUUAAAUUCAUCAAAUAACUUAUCAAACACAAAUCAAAUCAAACUUAAGGCGAGAGAACCAAUUACACUAAUUUGAUUUUAUUCUAGUUUAUAAUAAUGCUAUUUGAUAUGAAAAGAUUGCUUCAAAUGUAGGUAGGAAAAGAAUGAAUGUAUACAAAUAACUUGAACCUAUUUAACUUGAGGCACUAAGCUUUGAUGUGCUCUCAUUUAUGGACUCCAAUUCCAUCUUAGUUUUUUGUUCAACAAGGUUUUUAAUAUCCAUUGGAUAUGUGAAUCCUGAAUUAUAUGAAUCAUAAUAAGACCUUGUUGCAGUGAGUUGGUUAUAUGCCUCAGUGGGAUGGACUUCAUCCCAAAAAAAAUAAUCACUCCUAUUAUAGCAUGGCCUUUCAUUAGCAUAACACCUUCCAAUCAACCUCGGUGGACAACAAGGAGCGUUUGAAACCAAAAACCCUGAGAUUCAUUUAACAUUCAGCAUGGUUAUAUAUGUUGUAUGCACCUCAAUCAAACACAAUAAAUUGUUUUAAUUAUAGUGUGUACAAAAAGAUUUUUAUAUAAUGACUAAUUUAAGGACCGAUUUAGAAACCAAAAAUUUCAAAUCGGUUGCUCACAUUAGAAACUAGAAACUAGUGAUUGAGAGACUUUUCACAAAUCAGUCAGAAAUUAAUUUAGAGAACGAUUUAGAGACUGAUUCAGACCAAAAUAUUUUGUUAAUACAAGCAUUUGUUAAGGUAUUGUUCAGAACUGUCAAUACCUCCAAGUCUGCUAGCAAUUUGAGAAACUAUUACUUUGUGAUUCUUUAACUGUAAUCCCAAGCUGAUAACAGAACCCUGUACAGACGUAAUGUUAUUUUGGUGACAUGUAUAUAAGCAGUGUAACAAAAAUAUUCUAGUCCUCUACUAAAAACUAAUUGCAGAUAAAGAUGAACAAUCAAAGAAAUGAAGAAGGCUCUUUGAUUUUCCUGUAAAAAAGAAAAAGACUCUUUGGUUUAUAAUUUUAUUUAUGCCAUAGUCAUGCUUGUCUCGACACGAAUUCCAGCUCCACGAGAUGCAUAGUUCACACCUUAGAGUAUGUCUGAACCACUAAUGUUUGCAAAUGGUAGAAUGAAGUUCUCAAAACAAGAAGCUGAGCUGCAAUAAAAAAUAACUUUAUAGUUUGAGCUGAAUCAAAAGCUUAAAUAAGAAGAGAAAAGAACAAUGAAAAACACUUACUGGUUCGAUCAAUAUAGUUUACUCACAAACAAAAAAAAAAAAAUAGAGAAUCAGAGUUCAUAAUAUAGAUAAAUUGAAAGAAUUGUUACUUAUUAUGUCAAUUGCAGUUCGACCGUUGCAUAAGGUUUGUAAUUACAUUUUGCAUAGGUAGGAAGAUUGAAAGAAUCUCCAAAGAUAAAAAGACAAGGAACUUGGGAUUUCCCAUUGACAGAUUGCUGCAAAUAGUUUGCAGACAAGAGAAGAAUAGGAAACACCAACCAUGUCUUUAUUAUAGAAUCCAUCUCUAAGAAGAAAAUCUAAUGAAGCUAAUAAAUCCAGAUAAUAAUUAAGGAACCAACCAAGAACAAGAUAUCGAUGCUGAGUUUGAGUUUAAGAAAGAUGGGUUUUUGGCAAGUUACAUUAUUAACUAAACAUAUAUACUAAUGCUAUAAAACUAUAAAAGCUAAUUUCUUCAAAUUGAAUUAAUAACUUAAAUCAUAAAAUUUGAUAAACUAAGAAAAUCACCUUUGUCAAAUUAAGGGUGCCACAAAUUCCGUAGCAAGUAAUAAUAUAAUCACCUCAAACUCAGCAUCAAUAUCUUGCUAGCUCCUUGAAAUGUGAUAUGGAAGAAUUGGAGAAUAUCAAGAAGAUGACUUUAAAUGGAGCCCUGUAAAUGGAAAGUGGAAUUAGACUCUUUUCAUUACUAUUUUUUUAUUUUUUUGACGGAGGUCUUUUCAUAGGUUAUUCUCGGAUUCAAUACUGAAUUUUUUAAAAUAAUCGAUAAAGUUUGCAAAAGACUGCUCCCUUCAUCCUAAAUUAUAGAUCGCCUUACAACAUCAUCACCGGAACAUUAAUGUUACUUAUUAUAUCAUUAAUUAUGUAUUACUCUUUUAUUUUUUAAGGGUUUUUCUAUCAUGCGCAAAUUUGCACAUGUUAAGAAAUUUAAAAUAGUAACUUUGCAUUGGAACUUGAACAUUUUGUAUUAAAUAUAUAACUUUUUGUUAAAUAAUUGUUGGUUUCAAUAAAAACUUGCUACUUUUAGUUACCUUAACAUGUGCAAUAUUGCACAUGUUAGACAAACCCAUUUUUUAAUUUUUUAAUGGUUUAAUAGUGUUUUUGGCCGCUGUAAUAUAGUGCACUUUUGGUUUUAGUCCUCGUAAAAAAAAAAAAAAUUAGAUUGAUACAUUGGGGUGAGAGACCAAUCCUAAAGAAUCUUCAUUUUUCAAGGGUGGAAUCUAAAAAAAAGUUUUACAAGAGCUAAAACCAAAAGUGCACUAUUACAGGGGCCAAAAACACUGUUAACCCUUUUUUAAUUCAUCUUUUACAUUUUAUUAUUAAGGACAAUUUUAUAAAACAAUUUAUUAUAUAUUUUUCUCAUACAAAUUAGGUACAAUUUUAAUACGGAUUAAACGUUCGAAACGUGGUAUAAUUUAGGACGGAAGAGUAAUAUUCUAUCUUCAAACUUCAUAUAAUAAGAAGGAAAAAAAACGGUAUCAAAUUAUCUACAUGUUAAAGUGACACUACCAGAAAUAUUACUAUCGCGGGCCCCAGUAUUAUGUUAUGUUAGUGACUAAAAAUGCUGAUGAAAAUUUUGAUAGGGACUAAAAAGUGCAAUUUUAUUUUAUAGAGACUAAAAAUAAAAUUAUGAAUAUUUAUAAGUACCAUUUACUUAAUUAACUUUUUUUUAAUAUAUUAUUCUCUCAAUCACCUCCUGUGCUUGGCUUCUGAAUUCUAUCUUGCGGUUAAUCCAAUGUUGAGAAACCAUAACGAAAAUAAAUAAAGUAGUGUUAUUUGAAUGGAAAUGUUACGAUUCAAAAUAGUAUACGAAGAUACACUUGACAUGACAUAAUUCGUUGAGGCCAAUUGAUAUGUGAUUAAUAGGAAAAUGCUUUAUGGUAACACACGAAAUUUUACGGAUGCGUGGAAUAGCUUCUUUUCAACGCGCUACAGUUUCUGGCUUUCUGCUUUGUUUUUAAAUGUAAUGAAAUGGAAUUACAUAUAUAAGUUGUUGAAAUUCAUGUGGUAGGAACAACAUGGAGGAGACUUUAUCCUAUUAUUUUAGUAUGAAGGCUUGAGCAUCUUACUUUUGUGAAUGAAGCACUUCCUUGGUACCUUUUUUUAUAGUUUGAAAGUGAGAAGUUGCAACUCUUCUCCUUUCCUUCCUUCAUACACAAUGAAAUCCCACAUGAAGGUGUUUCCAUGUAGAGAACAUGGAAACGUUAGUUGAUGUUUCAUAUGCCGUAUUUUAUUAUAUUAUAUAGAACAAGUUCAUAUGUUAUGUUUCUUUGCUAGCGAUGUUGGACUAGAAUGACCAUAUUUUUACUCUCUACUAUCACACGUCAUUUGGAACUUUUAAGUAUAUUAGUACAAUCUUUAAUAUUACGUUUGCUCACCAGUUUCUCAUCACUGUUUUUUCAUCUCUUUGAUUGAAUAAGUCAUCCACCAUUUGUGCAAAGGUGUAGCAUUUGUAGUAAACAGUAACACUAAUUUUGUUAAUUCAUAUAUAUGAUCUUCAUAUUGAGUCCCAUUGUCCCUAAUUCUCCUUUAGAACCAUUUGUGGUUGCAGAUUGUAGUCAUCAUUGUCCUCUAUGGAAUUGGUAGCCCUCUAUUAACAAUUUGUUGGAUCUAUCAAUAGGUUGUUCUUGAUCGUCUUUGACAACAACUAAGAAAAUCGAAAACAUUGGAAAGAAUUGAGACACUGGGUAAAUGUGCGGCCAACAUAUUUUCAGUUCCAAAUCAAAUAAUUACUUUUCUCCUUAUCAAGAUUUCAGAUACACGCUUAUAUAUAGUUAUCGACUAACGUAUAAUCAGAUAAACUUAAGAUAGUAUAAGAUUAAACUUAUUUCAUUAUUUCAGUUAACAAUAAUGCUAUUUGAUAAGAAAAGAUUGUUUCAAAUGUAGGUAGGAAAAGAAACAAUCCAUACAAUAUUGUAACAGCAUAUGAGUAGGGCCUAAUUAUGUAAAAGCUAUUUAGCUCAAUGUGAAUGAAUGCAUAAUAACUUGAACCUAUUUAACUAGAGGCACUAAGCUUUGAUGUGAUUACAUUUAUAGGCUCCAAAUCCUUCAUAGUUUCUUGUUCAGCAAGGUUCUUAAUAUCCAUUGGAUAAGUGAAGACUAAAUUAUUAUAUGAAUCAUACAUUCUUGUUGCAGUGACUAGGUUCCAAGCCUCAGUGGUAUGGAAUUCAUCCCAAAACACAUACUCUCCCCUAUUAUAGCAUGGCCUUUCAUCAGGAAUACACCCUCCAAUCAACCUUGUUUUGCAACAAGGAGCAUUUGCAACCAAAAAACCUGAAAUCAAACACAGUAAAAUUGAUUUUAAUUAUAGUAUAUGAAUUGAAGUUUAAGUAAACUAGACAAUUAUUACCAUUUGAAUUCUGGCUAUCUGACUCGGAUGUACUGUUUAUAAAUAUGAAUUUGGAAUCAGCAGAGAACUUAUUAUUGAAAUGAUCCACUAGAGAUUUAAGCUUGAAAUCAAAAAUGGAUGCGAUGUCAUUUUGCUCCUCAACACAAGACCCAUCUGUCCCAUGAGUAAAGAUGGCACUUGGAGUGCAGCCCAAUAGACCUAACCCAGAUAACACAUAUUUUCUUGCUCCAAUUUCAUGUAAAGCCUGUUCCAUGUACCAAAUGCCUCUAUUAUAAACCAUGAUAUUCAUAACUAAUGUAACUUCCAUUAAUUUGCUACUACUGUAAUUAUCUAAAUCAUUUAGUGAAAGUAAAAGUGAAACACAAAGUUCAAGGGGAUACCUGUAAAUUCAAAGAUAACUCUUCAAUUAGAGCUUCUGCGUACUGCUGAGGGCUAUAAAUGUGUCUUGUUGGAUAUAAUUGGGGAAGAAAGUAAUUAUUUAUGUAAUCAUUACUGCCAAUAUGCACAUAAUAUAAGCAUUUAUUAAGGUAUUCUUGAGCUUUGUUAAGACUUCCAAGUCUGCUAGCAAUUUGAGAAAUUAUAACUUUGUGAUUUUUUAACUGUAAUCCCAAACUGAUGACAAAACCCUGUAGCAAUACGAAUUUAUUUAAAGAUGAACAAUCAAAGAAAUGAAAAGGCUCUUUGAUUUCUAAUUUAUGUAAACCUUAGCCAUGCUUGUCUCGGUACGAAUUCCAGCUGCGCCAGAUGCGUAGUUCACACCUUUGAGUAUGUCUGAGCCAUUAAUGUUUGCAAAUGGUGGAAUGAAGUUCUCAAAGCCAAGAAGCUGAGCUACAAUCAAAAUAACUUUAUAGUUUGAGCUGAAUCAAAAGUUUAAGGUAACAAGAGAAAAGAACAAAGAAAAACACUUCAUGUUUCAUAAUAUGGUUAAGUUAAAAGAAUGUUACUGAUUAUGUCAAUUGAAGUUCGACCGUUGGUAAAUCUUCCAGUUGGGCCCAUCGGAAAGUCGAUUCCAUAGGGAUUGUAAUUAGAUUUUGCAGAGGUAGGAAGGUUAUUGUUGUUUCCACUAUCAGAUAAAGAGUCUCCAAAGAUAAAUAGACAAGGCACUUGGGAUUUCCCAUUGACACAUUGUUGCAAAUAGUUUGCAGAAAAGAAAACAAUAAGAACUACCAACCAUUUCUUGAUUAUAAAU